This 337-nucleotide RNase P RNA is filed under the name uncultured Ruminococcus sp. RNAcentral's name for it is "Bacterial RNase P class A". It matches the Rfam family "Bacterial RNase P class A". From Rfam's summary of the family: Ribonuclease P (RNase P) is a ubiquitous endoribonuclease, found in archaea, bacteria and eukarya as well as chloroplasts and mitochondria. The record is from RNAcentral. Lineage: Bacteria; Bacillati; Bacillota; Clostridia; Eubacteriales; Oscillospiraceae.
GUGCGCUGAACAGCCGCGGGCAGUAUCCGAAAGGAACUGUGCGAGGAAAGUCCGGGCUUCACAGAGCAAUAAUAACGGCUAACGGCCGCCGGAGGCGACUCCAGGGAUAGUGCAACAGAAAAUAACCGCCGAUUUAUCGGUAAGGAUGGAAAGGUGAGGUAAGAGCUCACCGGAGGCUUGGAGACAAGCCUGCCGUGUAAACCCUAUUUGAAGCAACACCGUGGUAGGACAAAUUCGCUUGCUCGGCGAGUCCUUAGGAGGUGGCAUCGAGCAGCAGGGGCGACCCUCUGCCAAGAUAGAUGGCUGUUCACGACAGAACCCGGCUUACAGGCGCAGU